RNAcentral lists this transfer RNA (74 nucleotides) under Candidatus Omnitrophota bacterium. Its description in RNAcentral is "Candidatus Omnitrophica bacterium (groundwater metagenome) tRNA-Asp". It matches the Rfam family "tRNA". Rfam says of the family: Transfer RNA (tRNA) molecules are approximately 80 nucleotides in length. The record is from RNAcentral. Lineage: Bacteria; Pseudomonadati; Candidatus Omnitrophota.
GGGGACGUAGCUCAGUUGGUUAGAGCGAUGGCUUGUCAAGCCAUAGGUCGCGGGUUCGAGCCCCGUCGUCCCCG